UACAGAGGGUGCGAGCGUUAAUCGGAUUUACUGGGCGUAAAGCGUGCGUAGGCGGCUGAUUAAGUCGGAUGUGAAAUCCCUGAGCUUAACUUUAAGGAAUUGCAUUCGAUACUGGUCAGCUAGAGUAUGGGAGAGGAUGUAGAAUUCCAGGUGUAGCGGUGAAAUAGCGUAGAGAUCUGGAGGAAUACCGAUGGCGAAGGCAGCCAUCUGGCCUAAUAACUGACGCUGAGGUACGAAAGACAUGGGGAGGCAAACAAGGAUUAGAUACCCGUCGUAGU
RNAcentral lists this ribosomal RNA (278 nucleotides) under uncultured bacterium. RNAcentral's name for it is "partial 16S ribosomal RNA". It matches the Rfam family "Bacterial small subunit ribosomal RNA", at positions 524 to 794 of the family's 1533-position model. The record is from RNAcentral.